This 253-nucleotide ribosomal RNA is filed under the name uncultured bacterium. Its description in RNAcentral is "partial 16S ribosomal RNA". It matches the Rfam family "Bacterial small subunit ribosomal RNA", at positions 524 to 776 of the family's 1533-position model. The record is from RNAcentral.
UACGUAGGGACCAAGCGUUGUUCGGAUUUACUGGGCGUAAAGCGUGUGUAGGCGGCCAGGAAAGUCGGAUGUGAAAGCCCCGGGCUCAACCCGGGAAGUGCAUUCGAUACUGCUUGGCUAGAGUCUCGGAGAGGUUGGUGGAAUUCUCGGUGUAGAGGUGAAAUUCGUAGAUAUCGAGAGGAACACCGGUGGCGAAGGCGGCCCCCUGGUUGGAUACUGACGCUGAGACGCGAAAGCGUGGGGAGCAAACAGG